GCACGGUCAUUAUAGGUAGUCAGAGCGUUACGGCUGUCGCUCGCAGUGGAUAUUGGUUUGGUCCACUGCAUCGAGUCGUUCAGCCUUUGCCCACCUUUAAACAUAAGUCAACAUGUCGCUGGCAAGCUUGGCAGCGUAUGACAGCACUGAUGAAGAGAGUGAUGCAGAGCCUGAUGAAUUGACCAGGCCCUCUGGACUGUCACCUUCAGUCCCACCUUUGACAGUGCCUGUGGAUAUCAUAGAAGAUGAGGAUGAUUAUCAAACAACUAGUAGAACUGUAACAUCAUCAUUGCCCAUGGUUAAUGGUAACACAAAAAGUGACACUGGAAGCAUCUUCCAAGCAGAUGAUGUUGUUGAUGAUGUUCCCCUGGCUGAGAAAAUUCAUGCAGAAAAGCCAAAGAAAAGUGGUAAAGUUAAAAUAUCAAUACCAUCAUUGUCACAGUUCAAAGAUGAUGAUGAAGAACCAGCUGCAAAGAAAAUGAAACCUUCUGUUAAGGGCUCUGGCCUGUUCUCUCUGCUGCCGCCGCCCAAGGCACAGUCUACCAAGCAAACUGGCCGCGCGUUACUGCCGCAGGCAGUAUCACGGCCAGCGCCUCCGCGUCGUCCCGCCCUGGCCCCCGCUCCUGUCCCUGCCCGGGCACCGACCCAGGCCCCGCUGGUGGAUGCGGCGCCCGAUUCUGAUGAGGAGGAGCCGGCGCAGUCGGGCGGCGGCGGCGGCGACUUUUUCUCGCUGACGGAGGCUCCGCGGCCGGUGGCGGU
Pollicipes pollicipes is the source of this 759-nucleotide long non-coding RNA. RefSeq lists it as uncharacterized. NCBI's taxonomy places the organism in Eukaryota, Metazoa, Arthropoda, Thecostraca, Pollicipedomorpha, Pollicipedidae. The transcript is spliced from 4 exons. The record is from RefSeq and is a predicted model, not a curated record.